CCCGCGGCAAGACGGAAAGACCCCGUGAACCUUUACUAUAGCUUGACACUGAACAUUGAGCCUUGAUGUGUAGGAUAGGUGGGAGGCUUUGAAGUGUGGACGCCAGUCUGCAUGGAGCCGACCUUGAAAUACCACCCUUUAAUGUUUGAUGUUCUAACGUUGGCCCGUAAUCCGGGUUGCGGACAGUGUCUGGUGGGUAGUUUGACUGGGGCGGUCUCCUCCUAAAGAGUAACGGAGGAGCACGAAGGUUGGCUAAUCCUGGUCGGACAUCAGGAGGUUAGUG
This 283-nucleotide ribosomal RNA is filed under the name Escherichia coli. Its description in RNAcentral is "partial 23S ribosomal RNA". It matches the Rfam family "Bacterial large subunit ribosomal RNA", at positions 2069 to 2351 of the family's 2925-position model. Lineage: Bacteria; Pseudomonadati; Pseudomonadota; Gammaproteobacteria; Enterobacterales; Enterobacteriaceae. The record is from RNAcentral.